This 929-nucleotide long non-coding RNA is filed under the name Vulpes vulpes (red fox). RNAcentral describes it as "lncRNA (ENSVVUG00000012376.1)". Lineage: Eukaryota; Metazoa; Chordata; Mammalia; Carnivora; Canidae. The record is from RNAcentral.
UGUGUGUGGCGGGGGGGAGGUGGUUCUUUUCUCUAAAAAGGCUUUCUUCUUUAUUAAAAAAUGAUGCAAAUAAGGACCAUUCUUCCCCAGGUCUUGGAUGUUGCUGUAUGAAGAGGAGAUGCUCAGACCUUUUCCAUCUGCCUUGCAGUCAUGAGGAGACAACUAUUGUAAAUGGAAUAACUUUCAACCUCUUUACAUGUUGGACCUCUCUACCUUCUUAUGGUGCUAAGAUCUUAAAUUGCCUCUGUAAGGAUUUUAAGAGGCAGAAGAGUGUUGCUAGUUUUGGAAAAGACUAGCCAAGACUAACCUAGAAUGUGGGAGCUUGAAGACAGAAUCAAGUAACCAACCACAACAGUCAUCUGGAUGGCAACUUGCAUCACGUGAAUCAAGAAUCCAAGGCAAGUCAGAUCCACUAUAGCCUAACCCUAUCUCCAAACAGAUGUGAGAUCUACUAUCCAGUUGUGUAAUCUCCAUACUUCCUCCCUCUGUAUUUGAAGCAUGAUAUGAGUUUAUGAAGGAAGAUAAAAAAGAGAUAAGUAAUUAAAUGAAGGAGAAAACAAGUCCAGGACUAAGAUGGUAGGUUUGAAACUUAGAUUGUAUGUCUACAAAUUGGUAAAAACCAAGUAGACAAUGACUCUUCCCCUUUCCUGCUCAGGAUUGUCUGUCUUCAUUUGGUAGAGUGAGGCAAAAUCAUGGUUAAACAGUAAAUGCAAAUAUCACGAUUCCUGACUUCAUUUAGCCUCGCUGCAUUUAUUAAAACUUAUAUAUAACAUCUUGCCUAUCCAAAAUAUAACAUAUGGACCACGUGGGUGAGUGUGUUAGCAGAACCUUUACUUGUACAGCCUUUGAUUGUGGAGGCUUCAAAAUAACCUGAAUGUUAAAUCACUAUUUAAAAUAAAAUAAAAAAAAGAUUUUGACUUUUUAAAACC